GACGAACGCUGGCGGCGUGCUUAACACAUGCAAGUCGAGCGGUAAGGCCCUUUCGGGGGUACACGAGCGGCGAACGGGUGAGUAACACGUGGGUGACCUGCCCUUAGCUCUGGGAUAAGCCUGGGAAACUGGGUCUAAUACCGGAUAUGACUCCAUGACGCAUGUUGUGGGGUGGAAANCCUUGUGCGGCUAGGGAUGGGCCCGCGGCCUAUCAGCUUGUUGGUGGGGUGAUGGCCUACCAAGGCGACGACGGGUAGCCGGCCUGAGAGGGCGACCGGCCACACUGGGACUGAGACACGGCCCAGACUCCUACGGGAGGCAGCAGUGGGGAAUCUUGCGCAAUGGGCGAAAGCCUGACGCAGCGACGCCGCG
RNAcentral lists this ribosomal RNA (372 nucleotides) under uncultured bacterium. RNAcentral's name for it is "bacterial SSU rRNA". It matches the Rfam family "Bacterial small subunit ribosomal RNA", at positions 28 to 401 of the family's 1533-position model. The record is from RNAcentral.